RNAcentral lists this ribosomal RNA (301 nucleotides) under uncultured bacterium. RNAcentral's name for it is "partial 16S ribosomal RNA". It matches the Rfam family "Bacterial small subunit ribosomal RNA", at positions 509 to 807 of the family's 1533-position model. The record is from RNAcentral.
CAGCAGCCGCGGGAAUACGGAGGGUGCAAGCGUUAAUCGGAAUUACUGGGCGUAAAGCGCACGCAGGCGGUCUGACAAGUCAGAUGUGAAAUCCCCGGGCUUAACCUGGGAACUGCAUUUGAAACUGUCAGGCUGGAGUCUUGUAGAGGGGGGUGGAAUUCCAGGUGUAGCGGUGAAAUGCGUAGAGAUCUGGAGGAAUACCGGUGGCGAAGGCGGCCCCCUGGACAAAGACUGACGCUCAGGUGCGAAAGCGUGGGGAGCAAACAGGAUUAGAGACCCGAGUAGUCCCUGUCUCUUAUAC